UGUUAAAAUUUUCAUCAAUUUCUCCUGUUAAAAAUUAGCCAAUGUACGUCAACAUGAGGUAUAUGUGUCACUAGCAUGUUCUUCAGUUGGCUAUGCCAGUUUUUAAUAGUAUAAAUGGAUGAAAUUUUUACAA
Gossypium hirsutum (cotton) is the source of this 133-nucleotide non-coding RNA. The record is from Rfam. Lineage: Eukaryota; Viridiplantae; Streptophyta; Magnoliopsida; Malvales; Malvaceae.